This 376-nucleotide long non-coding RNA is filed under the name Bemisia tabaci. Its description in RNAcentral is "lncRNA ENSSWEETPG000673". Lineage: Eukaryota; Metazoa; Arthropoda; Insecta; Hemiptera; Aleyrodidae. The record is from RNAcentral.
UCCAUGAAAAAAAAAUGGAGAAAGUCAUAACAGAAUCAACAGAGGAAAAUGUGGAGCCUUUCAAAACGAAAAUGGAGGCAUUCGUCGUCCAUGCCAAAAAAUGCCUGAGUGAAGAACAAGAAAAUUUAGAAGACUGCAAGAAGAAAUUUUUGGCAACCAUCACAUCUUAUUGCUUCAAACCAAAAAGUGGCUCUCAGGAGUCAGAUAUUAGUCCCAAAGAUUUUUUCAACUAUGGGUAUCCUUUUGUUCAGACUUUAAGGAUAUUUGGAAAGUAGAACAACAGAAGAUGAUAAAAGAAAAGUGGAAGCAGUUGGAGAGAAAGAGAGAAGAACAACGCAGCAAAGUUGGCAAGCAAAAAAUACAAGAGGGAGGCCUA